CUCCUCCCUCCCUCCCCCUCCCAAGAAACUUAUCUUGCUUUGUCAGUCGAAGUAUUGUUAGUAGUAUUUCUUCUGGUCUGGUGAACACAUACCCAAUGUUCGAAGUUCAUUUUCAUUUGGAAGACGAUAGGGGCUCGUAAACAAAUUCAUAAACUAUGCAUUUUUUGGUACUAAAAAAAUUGUCGUAGACUCAUCGUUUCUUAGAAUUAUCGUUUGUAUUGGAAAUCAUUUCUGUAGGUGAUGAAGACGAAACCCUGUAAAUUGUUGAUUGAAGUGUUCUGCAGUUCUACAGAUCAGUAUUCUGGGCUGUAUGGUGAGAAGCUAUAAUGUGUGUGUGUGUGUGUUAUUUGUACCAGGCCAAGGAAAUCGAUGUGAAUUUAGUGACUUGUUACCCACACAGAAUGGAGAGAGAAAAGGGUACAAUGCAACUUAUAUAAAUGCUGGGUUCUGUGAUUUGAGUGUGUGUGGGGACAAUGCCUUGAACCUUUUCAAAGAUAAGUCUCGGGGAGAAGGAGUUAAAAUUUUUUUUUUUUCUUUUUUUUAAGUAGUGGUCAAGAACAAUAUGGCCGUUGUUGUGCACUUUUGUCAUCUAUAAAAAAAACCUUGUGCUUUUAAAAAAAAAAAAAUACAGAGAUUCAUUCUGUGAAGUGUUUUUGUUAGUUUUUUUUAAAUUUUUUUUUAGUUUUUUUCUGUGAUGGCUAUUUACAGUGUCUAAGAGAGAAUAGCUGACCUUCCCAGUUACUGGUUUUCCUUGCAAAUGUAGAAAGAAAACUUCAUGGUGAAACCUUGUAUUAUAUUUCAAACAAAACGGGUAUCUAUAAUAACAGUAGUAAAGAGGGGGAAAAAAACUGAACUAUUGCGCAAGUCCUGGGUAGCCUACUAUGUUACGUGCUUCGAUUUCAAAGUCACUCUGAUGGAGAAAAUAUGGAUCCCUACGUGUUUCUGUUUCCAAGACCCGGUGGUAAAGUGAUGAUCCCUUGUAUCAAUUGCUACCUCAGUAUAUUUUAGAGACGAACGUUUUUCGAACCGCUCGUGAAGGGUUCUUCUUCAAAUGGACAAACAAAACAAAAAAUUGUAAGGUCAUACUGGCUUGCUGUACCUGCUGUCUUCACUGCCCACGACACACUUGUGUGUGUGUCUAGGGUGUGUUAACAUGAUCAAAUGCAAUCUCUUCAGAUUUUAUACUCUGUUCUUUGAAGUUCCGUUUCUGUUCGUGUGUCCCACCCACCCACCUACCCCUUCUCAAGUUUUUCUUUAGAACUAUGUACUAAGACUUGCAGAGUUUAAUUUCUACACGGGACAGUCACCUAUGAUGUAUUUGGACAAUGCAUUGUAAACUAAAUUGUUGAACAACUUUCGUUAAUGAUUAUGUUAUAGAAAUGUACAGGGAAGCCACUUUGAUUUAGCUACAUGUUCUUAUGUAAUCCAAUAGGGGGGCAAACCAUUUUACUUACGCCAUACUGCUUAUCGAAUGUGGAAGAACAGAUAGCAGGGUUUUGCUGCUUGUUAGGUCAUUUGAGGGACGGAGUUUUCCAUGUGCAUUUACUGAGAAUAUAUCUAAUUGAAUUGAAUACAGAAUUAAUGAGGUUAUUCGGGGUUUGAAAGGUAUAUAACGGGAGGAAAACCUCGCAAGAGAGAGUGGAAAGUAAGUUGGAAGAAAGAGAAUAUGAAUUGAGGUACAGUAAAAUAAAAAAUAAAAAUCCCAUCUUUUCUUCUGAGGGCCUUUGUUCCUUGUCGCUUUGGGUAUCAUGGCAGAGGUUUUCUGGGAGAGUUAUUGCCCAACUUGGCUGGGGGGUGGGGGGGGUCUGUGGUUGUUCAACUCCUUGUAGCUUGGUAAUUUAUACAACUUUUUUUUUUUUUAUACCUUAACAGAGAUAGUCCCACUUGGUAGUUUGUUUUGAAAGUUUUCUUCAGUUUCAUGUUAUUAAUGAUUUGGCCAGUUAAUUUUGAACCCGUAUAAUUGGAUAAACCCCUUUACUUUGUUUGGGCUGUAAAACAAAAAAAAAAGUGUAAAAUAACCCUUGAUGGUUAACCAAACCUCCCACAUUAUUAGUAGCCUUUUUCUUUUUACUUCAGUUUACAUGUGAAGGAUAUAAGCUUUUUCAGUAUUGUGCCAUAUCUUAAUUUUGCCUCUUGACUAGACACAGUGUGUGUUUAGGAACAAAUUAAAAACUUGAUGGAGUUGUAAGUUUAUUGUAAAAAUUCAUUGUCGAACCCCUGCAAGUUUAUUGUAAAAAUUCAUUGUCAACACCCCUGCAAGUUUAUUGUAACAAUUCAUUGUCGACACCGGCUUGCAAUCUAAGAAAAGGCAGGCGAAACAGUUGAGUGCACUAGCUAGCUGCCUGUAGGGAGGAGGACCUUUAUAAUCCUUGCUAAGCAUUCUUCAGAACUACAGUAUCUUCAGUUAUCCAUGGGGGCAUUUUUAGUUGUUUCUACCCUCGAGCCAACUGGCGUUUUGCGGAAGCCCAAAACCCUUGUUUUCUGACUCUGCAAAGAAGUGGUGCUGAGGCUUCUCCAUUCACCUGACAAUGAAAAGAUGGGGGAGCUGCUGUCGUCUCUCUCAAACGAUUUUUAUAAAUGCACCCUUCCUUUGGUGUGGUCUGACAGGAUCACUGAAGAAACCAACGUCCAAUUAUUACAUCCACUUGCAUUUUUCUACCGGUGGUCUAAAUGCUCUCGAGCGCAAUCCUGCUGCCGCAUUCUGUUCUUAUGGUGUGGUUUGGCAGGAUCACUAAAGAAACCGGGCGUUCAAACUUCGCCCUCUUGCAGGUCGAUCAUUGGUGCAAGUGCUUUCUGGCACGAAAUAACCUGGUGCCUGUUCUUUGGUGUGCUUUGGCAGGAUCGCAUUAGAAACCAGGCGUCUCAAUUAAAUCAUCUUGCAAUUCGACCCUUGGUUUAAGCGCUCGCUGCUGCUAUCAUAAUAAGGUUAGAAAACUAGACAGCUGCAGCAGACUCUUCAGUGCAGGACGACGUUGUCCAAGUCCUCUCGUUACAAAAGGCUACAGCAACAGAAGACUUCAGUGCAGGACGACGUUGUCCAAGUCCUCUCGGUACAAAAGGCUACAGCAACAGAAGACUUCAGUGCAGGACGACUCUCUCCAACUCCUCUCGUUGCAAAGGGGGCUCUCAGACUAAUUCUUGUUGGCCUGUAGAAUCUGUUGAUACUCUGGCGUGAGCGAAUAUAUCUGGUUGCAGAUAUGCACGGGGUUAUUUCCUCACUCCACCAGGAACUAGGAGAACUGCCAACUCAGCAAAUACCCAUUUACCUAAAAAAAAAAAAUUUAGAGGUUUUAACAUUCCAUAAAUAUAACACUGCAUAGAUGUUUACCUAUAUCUUUGAAGCAAUUUCGCAAUAAAAUUCCACAUUUUUAAGGAAUUAUGGCGUAAGAAAAAUGGUUAGGAUUGUAUUGGGAGAAAGAGAAAUUUUCAUUGUUGAAAAAAAAAUUGGAAAUUCACGUAAUAGUUUUUAGAUUUUGUUCAAUAAAACAACUUUAAGGGAUAUUUCAUUUAUAGUUUAAAACAUAACUACACGUUAACAAGUAUUACUAAUGAUCACCAAAGUCCUUUUAAGGUUAUAAUAAAUGUGGUUUGAUAUUCACAACUGAUUCGUAGAUAUGGCGGUGAACGAAACUAAAUGAAUUAUGUUAAAUAUAAUACAGUGACGACCGGGAAUAUUUCCAGCCUAUAUUAGUUUGGAAUUUCUGGUACGCGAGAGAGAGAAAUAAAGUCUAGUGCAUUAAGAGUGAUACGAACGUUGAUAAUUAUAAAGCCUAUCAUUCCUUUAAAAGUAAUAAGUGGUUGAUGGUGUGAUUCCCAAUAGUGUUCGCUAGGGAAAUAAUAUGCAAAGGCUUGUUGUAAUGUGUAUGUUCGUCUGUGCGAGUGAAAUACUAAGGUGGCAGUAAAUGUUUGAAUUGUAAGUGGUUUGGAGAAAUCCUGUUUACCGCCAUAUCUACUAAAACCAAUUCAAAUUUAAUUUAGAUUUUUACUUUAUCACGUCCCUGUCUUAAAUAAUAAUAAUGGCUGCCUGCUGCCGUCCUUGUAAUAAAUAACUCUUAGUACUGUAUUCUUAAUUAUAUUAUCUUUGGUUUACCCCUUCCAUUCUAUCUAUUGUGUGUCUUGUCCCCCCCCCCUUCCUUCUUUUUUAUCUUUCACACAUUCUUUCAUCCAUUUUAGAUCUCGUUAAGUGUGGGAAUACAAAAUAAAAAGCAACCAUGUGUACGUGGCCAGGGAUCAGUGUACACAUGAGUCCUAUGUAAAACUUUUCUUUUAAAUCAUAAAUGCCAACACGCACAGGACCUUUUUAAUAUUAUUAUUUUAUUUAUCGCGUUCUUUCACACCGACAGACUUCAAAAUAAAAUGAAAAAAAAAUGAGAGAAAAUGAAUGACGUAAAAAAAAAUUAUUGAAGAUAUUGUACAGUUAGUGUGAUGGUAAUAAAUACUUGUCUCUCUUUCUCCACGAUCAAUAGUGCAACACCACAAUGUGUAAUCAAUAAGAAAUUUGCAAUAAAAAUGAGAAGACGAA
Macrobrachium nipponense is the source of this 4522-nucleotide long non-coding RNA. RefSeq lists it as uncharacterized. NCBI's taxonomy places the organism in Eukaryota, Metazoa, Arthropoda, Malacostraca, Decapoda, Palaemonidae. The transcript has 2 exons. The record is from RefSeq and is a predicted model, not a curated record.